CUCUGGGGAGGUGUACGAAAUGGGAGGCUUUUACAAGAGGGAGGGUGGGAUAAGUAAGUUAUUAGCAAAAGAAAAGAAAAGAUUGUCACAGGCAAGGUCACUUCCCUUAGGGGGAAAAGCAGAGGGUUUUAUCCUGCAGAUUACCUUCUUUUGCUUUGCCGUUAAGGAUGGAGAGGCCCAGGGGGCAGACUACCUCACUAGUGCGGACGAGGAAGUUCCUGGCUGACCGCUUAAAGCUACUUGAGAAACAGCCAGUGCAAGAAGGAUAGUCUGACCCUGCUUGUCUCCCUGAAAACAAGAGGGCAACUCUACCUGAAUUUGAUGGGCAUCUCUCCCCUUCUUGUCGGGGCCGUUGGGUGAAUAAUUCCUAUUUGCAAGGAGCAGCUGCAGCUGGGAUGAGUGGUGGAUAGAGCUCGAGCCUUCUGACUCCUCGAAGUCUUCGCCUUCACUUGUAGUCCUCACUUGGAGGCUCUGGAUCCAAGUCCUACAUGGAUGCUGACUGUUGAGAUUUCCAAACCGCAGAAUUUCAGAGGCCUAGUCGCUCCUUGCGUGGAGCCGUAUUCCUCUUGCAGAGCUGAGUGUCCAUUUGAUGAGCUUUGGAGGAGGACAACGAGACUGAGACCAGCUCAGUCUUCCCCACCUUCCUUCCCGCAUUCAUCACCUGGAAUCAUCUGCACUUUAUUAAUAUCUACAACUUACAUUCUUUCUCUAUCAGGCUGUAAAAUAACCUAAUGAGUUAAAGGCGACCAAAGACUCGCCCCUCCACAGAUCAGGUACCUGGAGGCUGCCUCAUGGCACCACAGUGAGUCAGUGAGAGGCCACCCUGGGAUCCCCUUCUUCCGCUUCCAAGUAGUUGGUAAUCUGUUCUGAUAGCUCACAUCUCUUUUAUUAAUAACCCCCUUUUCCCUUUUUAUUUCUCCAUGUCAACAUUUCAUUCUCAGGCCUGCUUUUAUCGGUAGGUACCGACUGGUGGAAUGCCAGCACUUAACCUUGAAAACACAGACCUCUUCUAGUGCAGGACAGAGAAAGCCCCUUCUCUGCAGCUGCUGAGGAAGAGAUCCUGGAGGGCUUCAUAAAAUGGACCUGGCCACUGAUACUUCCGAUGAAGGAUUUUCAAAGACGGCGACUGACUUCAGAUUGUAUGACCUCUGAAAGUCACGUUUAAAUUCUAAGUCUGCAAAUGAUUGUCUUUCUCUUUAUUUUUUAAUUUUAAAUUUUUUUAAUUUAAAUUUUACUUAGUUAACAUACAGUGCAAUAUUGGUUUCUGAUGUCUUUCUCUUUAAAAAUGUGUUGCCCUCGUCAUAAGAUGCUAACUGGAACUGCCUUUUCGCCUUCAAGACCUUUACCUUUGUGAUAUUUCUUUGUUCAGUCAGAAGACAAUUUGGUUCUUAUUUCUUUCAUAUGCAUGAAGGUAAAGUAAAAAAUAAAAUAAAAUCAGUGAUUCACUAGACAGUUGAUUUAAACAGAAUGUGAGAGUCUGUGUCUCAUUUAAAUAGACAGUAGAAAAUGGGCUAAAAGAGAGAAAGAAAGAGCCUGGGUUCAGGGAGCAAGGGUGGGC
Molecule: long non-coding RNA, 1558 nt
Organism: Mirounga angustirostris (Northern elephant seal)
Lineage: Eukaryota; Metazoa; Chordata; Mammalia; Carnivora; Phocidae
Exons: 3
Source: RefSeq, a predicted model, not a curated record